Molecule: ribosomal RNA, 435 nt
Filed under: uncultured eukaryote
Lineage: Eukaryota
Description: partial Bacterial large subunit ribosomal RNA
Rfam family: Bacterial large subunit ribosomal RNA
Source: RNAcentral
GUAGCGAAAUUCCUUGUCGGGUAAGUUCCGACCUGCACGAAUGGCGUAACGACAGCGGCGCUGUCUCCACCCGAGACUCAGUGAAAUUGAAAUCGCUGUGAAGAUGCAGCGUUCCCGUGGCAAGACGGAAAGACCCCGUGAACCUUUACUAUAGCUUUACACUGAACGUUGAGUUCGUCUGUGUAGGAUAGGUGGGAGGCUUUGAAGUGUCGGCGCUAGCUGGCAUGGAGCCAUCCUUGAAAUACCACCCUUAUCUUCGUGGAUGUCUAACUGCGGUCCGUUAUCCGGAUCCAGGACAGUGUGUGGUGGGUAGUUUGACUGGGGCGGUCUCCUCCUAAAGAGUAACGGAGGAGCUCGAAGGUACGCUCAGCGCGGUCGGACAUCGCGCACUGUGUGCAAAGGCAUAAGCGUGCUUGACUGCAAGAUCGACGGAUC